CACGUAGGUUGCAAGCGUUGUCCGGAAUCAUUGGGCGUAAAGAGCUCGUAGGCGGCUUAGUAAGUCGGGUGUGAAAACCCCAGGCUCAACCUGGGGACGCCACCCGAUACUGCUAUAGCUAGAGUCCAGUAGGGGAGUGUGGAAUUCCCAGUGUAGCGGUGAAAUGCGCAGAUAUUGGGAGGAACACCAGCGGCGAAGGCGGCACUCUGGGCUGGUACUGACGCUGAGGAGCGAAAGCGUGGGUAGCGAACAGG
Molecule: ribosomal RNA, 254 nt
Filed under: uncultured bacterium
Lineage: Bacteria
Description: partial 16S ribosomal RNA
Rfam family: Bacterial small subunit ribosomal RNA
Source: RNAcentral